Leopardus geoffroyi (Geoffroy's cat) is the source of this 6941-nucleotide long non-coding RNA. RefSeq lists it as uncharacterized. The record is from RefSeq and is a predicted model, not a curated record. NCBI's taxonomy places the organism in Eukaryota, Metazoa, Chordata, Mammalia, Carnivora, Felidae. The transcript is spliced from 2 exons.
GUACGAUGGCAGCCUCCAGCUGGAAAGCCGCAGGGAGAAAAAAAAAAUCUAACUCGUGGUUGCAGUGGUUGUUAAGAAUACUAGAGAACAGGCACAGUUUCUUCAGGGACUCCAUCUUCUUUGCAAAUGUCUGCCUCACUGUCUGAAGGAAAGGGGAAUAUUUACAUGCACUCUCUUUGCUCAAAGCACUCAGGCCACUCAGUCACAGAGUGAAAGAAAUAGGCAAAUGCACUAAUGCUUAGCUCUCUCAAGGAAAGUCAUUAGUUUCUUCAUGUCCUGGACAAGAAAAUCUCUGCAGCUCAUAAAAGAGAAGCAGUUUUGGGGACAGGAAGAAAAAUGUCAGGAGAAGCAUGGUCAUACAUCUAAUGGCAGUUGGGGUACCAGCUCCAAUGGUGGCCUCAGGCCAGCGCCUCCCAGGACCACACUGGGCCUGCAUUGACUCAUGUGCCAAAUGCAGACCACACUCCCUGCUCUGAGUACCUCCCGUGUGCUUAUGAAGACCAGGAGAAAUACGGAACACAAGAGCAUUUUGUAAUAUACAUAUAGAGAUUGUUAAUAAAGGAAUUUCAAACAAAAGCUACAAAUGGGACUUUUUUUCUUUUUAAAAAUUUUUUUUAACAUUGAUUUAUUUUUGACAGAGAAAGAGACACAGCAUGAGCAGGGGUAGGGGCAGAGAGAGAGAGAGAGACAGAGAGAGAGAUACAGAGAGAGAGAGACAGAGAGAGAAUCCGAAGCAGGCUCCAGGCUCCGAGCUGUCAGCACGGAGCCCGACGCGGGGCUCGAACUCACAGAGUGUGAGAUCAUGACCUGAGCUGAAGUCGGACGCCCAACCUACUGAGCCACCCAGGCGCCCCAAAUGGGACUUUUCAAGCCCAGGCAGCAAAAGGAAAUAUAAAUAUAGCCAUAAUUUUACAAUUUUAUAAUGUAGGGGAAGAAAUGGUGAUCAGAAUUGUAACAAACAAUCAUGUCCAAAAGAGAAGAGAAACCAGCUCCACUCUGUCAUAACUGUCUCAGUUCCUGUAGCACAUAGAACAAUGGAAAGACUGCAGGGAGGGGCAGAGACGGCCUCUGUGCUUGCAACAUACCAACGCCAUGGACACUCUGGACCGAGAAAAUGACAUUUUCACCUCGGUAAUCUCACAGUGUAUGUCCUCUAAGAAUGUUUGUGUGGCUCUGUGCAAGCGACUUCAGCACUUUCUCAGCCAUAUCUCCAGGAAAACGGAAAUAAUGGUCACAAUGCAGGAAUGAAACAUAAGACUGAUAGUUCUAUGCAACUGUGCGAUUAGAAGGAGUAAGGCCCAAGCUCUCGGCUUGCUCACCUGGAUGGACAGGCAUGCAAGGGCAGACCUCGCCCGUGAGUGGAUUUCAGGACCCCAGCAGCACAGGCAGGUUCAGGUAAUACUCAGGCAAUAACUAACUUUAAAGGAAGUAGAGACAGCCUAAGCAGUAGGUCAACACAAGCAAAUGCUGAGCUCUGGACCAAGAGGCAAAGCAGUCCUCCAGCUUUAGCCUACUGGAGAGCAGCCAGCUUAGGACACAGAUGAGGUCUGAGCUAAAAUUCAAGCCCCAGGCCCAAGGACACACAGUCACAAGAAGAGUUAUAUUUCACAAAGCAAAAUGGCACCCUCUUGGUCUGCACUGGGCUAGAGUUACCAAACAGAUCUCCAGGGCCUUGGGACAUCAGGUGACAAAGGAGCUAAAAUAAGCAAGAUAAAUUAACCCUACCUGUAAUUCACCAAAGAGGAGACCUCAAUGGCAAACAAAUAGAGCAAAAAUAGAUAACAAUAAAAUAUACACACAUGUAGGCAACUUCAAUAGUAAGGGAAUGCAAAACAGGACAACAAUGAGAUACUACUUUUCACACACAGUUUGGCAAGAAAUUAGAAGCGUCAGAAAAUUUACUUUGGGAACAGUUGUGUCAGGAAACUGACACUUAAAGUAUUAUGUUUCUUUUAUAAAUGCAUAUUUUCUAUUUCUUUGACGCAUAUUUGAUGUCCAUGGCCACUCUGGUGAUACAAUGGCAGACAGAGUGGUUGUGACAGAGACCACCUGGCCCUCAAAGGCUAAAACAGCUCCUACCUGACCAUCCACAGAAACAUUCUGCAAGCCCCAGUUCUAAAUUAAAAAAGUAUUGCUUCCAAUUACUAGACAUCUAAGAAAUCUGUUUGUUUUUUUAAGCCUUUUCUAGGUGUUGUUGCAAUGGUCUAAGAUGACCCAUAAUUCAUAUUAGGGUCUAUCUGGAUGUAUAUUCAUGAUAUAACUUGUUUUUAUUGACGCUUACCAACUACCCCAAGGACAUUACAAUAGUCCUCCCUCUUCGGAGUGUUUCGAGAUGCUGCUUCACUGCAUAUUCAGUUCCACAUGCAGGGGCUCUGUCGCUGGUGGUCAUGUUACUGAGAGAGCCUCUUAGUCCAGCACCAACACCACCAUUUCACUUAUAGUUGCUUUAUAACGCACCUUAGCAUCUGGCCAGGCUGGCCCCCAUUCCUCACCACUCCUGGUUUUCAAAUUUCUCUUAGCUCUUCUGCCUACCUUUUAUCAAGACAGUUUUGGAAUCCAUUUUUGUUAGGAUUCGAGAACAAUACCCUCAAAAGCUGGGCCCAGAUGACAUGCAAUGUAGAGGAAAUUAACUCCUUAACCACCUUCCUAUCUCCAUUUAGGAAGGAGGUGUAUCUUUCCCUUUAUUCAAGAGGUCCUUGGGGGUACUCAAAAAGUUCUAGAACCUUUUCCUACAAGCCAGGCACAAUUCUCAUUAAAAGACACCCUCUUUGCUUCGCAGUGAAUAGGCUUGCAAAGAUCACAAAGUAUUCAUUUUCUAAUGCCACAUACAAAAUGUAACUGCAAAUGAAACAUGAGGAGACAUGUUUAACCUUACAAUAACCAAAGAAAUGCUAAUACCAAAGAAACAACACAUUGAAUGCUGGCAGAAGCAGCAAGAUAGGCAAGAUACUGACUCCCUCAUGCAUUCCUGCAGCAGCUAUGGAAACAUCCCCUAGCAUACAAGCCAUCAGUGGAUUUGAAUAACUAUACAAUGUUAACCUCUGACCUUGAUAUCUCAACCCUCAGACAUCAUGCUUAAAAUUGCUGAUGGACUAAGCUAUACUGAUGUAUAAAAAUGAUAAUCACAGCAAUAUAUAAAAAUAAUGGAAUAAUUAAGUAAGAUACGGUGUAACCACUCAAUGCAAUAUUAAACAGGGUUUAAAAUUGUAAUCACUCAAGACUAUGCAGCGAUACUUAACGUAUGAUGCCAAGUGAUACAUAGCACUAUGGUAAUUUAUGCUAAUAGCUAAAGAUUACAAGGGAAUACACAAAAAUGAUAGAUCAUACCUGUAUCUAGGUGGUAGAAUUAUAGGUGACAUUUUUUUUUUCUGCUCCACGUUCUGGGCCUUGCACAAUGUUACAUUAUUUAUAUAAUUAAAAAAUACAAAAGAGGGGGCCAAUUUUCAGGUGUCUUCCAGAUCAACAGUUUGCAAUUAUUUUGCUCUUAAAGGUGGAAAUAGGAGACUGAGGCAAGUGCACCAACUUUUCAAAGGCCCACAGAUCAAGUACAGGCAGAAUUGAGACUAGAACCCGAAUCUCAAGAUUUUAGAGGUAGUAUUCUUUCCGACACAGCAUUUUGCGGUGUCCUUUUUCUAGGGGCCAACCAACUCUUGGGUCAUUUUAAUAUUUUUACAUAUUAUAAAUAAGUAAAUGAAAAGAGCAAUGAUCUAUUACCUCUCUUGAGAACAAGGGCUUUAAAAAUCUUACAAAAUGUCUUGAUUGGCUGAGGUUUGAAUCAAAUGUCUUUUCUGAAUACGGCUAUUCCACAGAGAAGAAAUCCAGUUGACCCUUAACCAACUAAGAAGUCAGGGUCACUGAUCCCCCAAGCAGUGGAAAAUCUGUAUAUAUCUUUCAAGGCCCCCAAAACUUACCUACUUAAUAGCCUACUGUUGACUGGGAACCUUAGCAAUCACCUAAACAGUCAAGUAACAUAAGUCAAGUAACGUAUAUUUUGUAUAUUAUGUGUAUUAUAUACUGUAUUCUUUCAAUAAAGUAGCUAGAGAAAAGAAAAACUUAAUAAGCAAAUAAUAAGGAGGGGCACCUAGGUGGCUCAGUAGGUUAAGUGUCAGGCUCUUAAUUUCAGCUCAGGUCAUGAUCUCACCGUUGAUGAGAUCGAGCCCCAUGUUGGACUCUGCACUGACCUUGCAGAACCUGCUUGGUAUUCUCCUUCUCUCCCUCUCUCUCUGCCCCUCCCCUGUUCACAUUCUCUCUCUGUCUCUCAAAAUAAGUAAACUUAACAAAAAUAUGAAAGAAAGAAAAUCAGAAGGAAGAGAAAACACACUUAUUGUACUACGCUGUAUUUAUGUAUUUACUUUUAUUUAUUUAUUUAUUUAUUAUUUUUUUAAGUAGCCUCCCCACCCAGAGUGGAGCCCAAUGCGGGGCUUAAACUCACAACCCUCAGAUCAAGACCUGAGUUGGACGCUUAACUGACUGAUCCACUCUACUUAAUUUUUUUACAAUUUUUUAAAAUGUUUAUUUAUUUUUGAGAGAGGGACCCACACAAAGCAUGAGUGGGGGAGGUGUAGAGAGAGAGGGAGACACAGAAUCCAAAGCAGGCUCCAGCCUUGGAGCUGUCAGCCCAGAGCCCGAUGUGGGGCUGGAACUUGCGAACCAGGAGAUCAUGACCUGAGCCGAAGUCAGAUGCUUAAUACACUGAGCCAUCCAGGCACCCCUGUAUUUAUGUUUUAAUAAUCCACUAUACGUGGACCCACGUAGUUCAAACCUGUGUUGUUCAAGGGCCAUAUGUCAGUCUUUUCCACAAAUGCCUGCAUAUUACAAUCUUGCUUUUGUAGAAGCAGUACUUUCCUCAUAAAGUCAGAAAACAAUUUGAGGGCUAAAUCAAGCAUUAAUUUAACAAAAAAGAUAAACUUCAGCUUUGGACACUUACUUUAGAAGCUAAGAGGUCUCAACUUGCAAUAUUAUCACGCCAGGAAAAAAAAAAUCCCUUCAAAAUUUGAAAGCUAAUGAGAACUAUUUCUUUGACUCUUCUCACUGCAACCUGACAACACAUUUGGCAGAGAGGUGUUUAUAUACCUGUAUACACAAUGGAUAACCAUAAUUAGUUUCUAAUAUCCUGUAAUGUCUAAAGAUAACAUUUGGAGCCCACAUGUAUUCGAACACUCUGUGAAUUCUGAGGGGGUUCUAAUUAGGUCCCAGUGGAGGUAAUAUUUAGAAAAGAACAAGGUAAAAUAAAUCAUCAAAUAAAAGACAGCAAGAAUAAAUGGUUAAUAAGGCAGAGAGGCUCCUGUGGUGUGUGUGUGUGUGUGUGUGUGUGUGUGUGUGUGUGUGUGUGUAUACUAGGAUUUAAGCAUUAUCUACUGAAGGCACAUUUUCCAAGAGCUUGAGCAACCACUUCUAGCAACUGGUGAGAUAGUUUCCUAUUUCCUGAUAUGCUACAGAACUUUCUCCUUCCCAUGGUUUUCUAAAUAUUGAGUGACAUAUCAAUCAUCCCUCAACCUGCUGUUUUCAGUCACCUUCUGAAAAAAAUGCCUCUUUCAUCCUGCCUUGACACUAUUCAAAUCAUGAUAAAAUAAACAUUGAAGGGGUAGGGGUUGGGGUGAGGCAGAAAUUAGGACGCAUUUUAUAGACUAGUAAAUAUAUUCAUAGAAGUAUAUUAUAAUUACAAUUAAAAUAUAAUUUUAUGUUGCAGAUGCCUGGGUGGCUCAGUUGGUUGAGUGACCGACUCUUGAUUUCAGCUCAAGUCAUGAUCCCUGCAGUCACAGCAUCAAGCCCCAUGUCGGGCUCUGUGCGGACUGUGGAGCAUGCUUAAGAUUCUCGCUCUCUCUUCCUCUGCCCCUCUCCCCCACUUGCACUCUCCUCCCUCUCUCCAAAAAAAAAAAAAAAAAAAAAAAAAAAAAAGCUAAGUGUGCACGUAUAUAAAACUUUAUGUGUAUAUAAAGAACAAUCGCCUCAGCAGAGAGAAAGAAUUUGAGGGUUAAAUUUACAAUGAAAGAUGAGUAUGCUGGCGACUUUGUGAGAGUCCUCAUUCAAGUUUAAUCUUUCCCUCACACAUACUCCUAAUGCACACUUUUGUGCCUUUAACGUUAGACACGUCUUAGCCCAGUUAGUAUUACAUCCUUCCUGUUAAGAUGUCUGUCUCUUCUGCCAGACAUAAAGCUCCUUGAGGGCAGAAUUAUACUUUAAUCAUGUUUUCAAGUCAUAAAGCACCUCACACACAACUUUACCAGUGCCUGGUAAAGAAAAUACAUUUCAUUAGGUAAAAUGUAUAUCUAUUUGUGGCAAACCAUGCUAAGGAGGUGGGGAGAAAAUGGGGAAUAAUUGAGAAUAUGUACAAAAAAUAUCAAUUAAAAUGGAUUAUAUGUCCCUAUACUACCCACAGUCAACACAAACGAACAACCAUAUUAAAUUUUCCAGAAAUACAUUAGAAAAUAUCUUCUGUGUCUCAUGUCCCCCCUGAUGAUGUCUAGGAACAAAUGUACCACAGCAGGGUGAAAAGGAAAGUACAAUUUAAGGUACAGUAGAAAGGAACUGGAUUCAAAACCAGAAUCCUCAUAAAAUUGAGUAUCUGACAAAAGUCAGUCAUUUCACAGUAAAAACUUAAGACAUAAAAAUAAAAAAAAAAUAAGGCAAGAAGUUAAACACCCGUAGGCUUCAGUGGAUAGCACACAAUGAGCACUAUUGAUAAACCAGCACUAUACGGACUUGAACCUCGUCUGGGCCUUAGUUUUCUAUCAAGGUUUUGGGCCCUAUGUUUCUACAGGUAAAAAUACCAGGAGACAAAACCUUAUAUGUUAGGAAAACAACGCACAUGCCGAGGGUAAGACACAAAGAAGAGGGCCAAUACAGUCAAGGAAUAUACUCUUUUUGUAGAAGUUAAUGUCCCAAUAGCUUCUGGGGGAAAAUCUUCAAAAAAAUGCUACAUUAAUUUAAAAAAAAAGCAG